RNAcentral lists this ribosomal RNA (113 nucleotides) under Paramormyrops kingsleyae. The record is from RNAcentral. Lineage: Eukaryota; Metazoa; Chordata; Actinopteri; Osteoglossiformes; Mormyridae.
AGCAGUAGCCAUGCCACCUGCAGUUCAGACUAUGUAAUCCCCUCAAGCUAAGCAAGUUUGCACCUGGCUAAUACUUGGAUGGGAGGUCAACUGAGAAAGCUGGGUUGGUGCUA